Molecule: long non-coding RNA, 336 nt
Filed under: Homo sapiens (human)
Lineage: Eukaryota; Metazoa; Chordata; Mammalia; Primates; Hominidae
Description: HSALNT0013723
Source: RNAcentral
AUUACAUUGACCAAGGACUAGCCUCCGACUUCUUUUUAUAGUAUAGUACAAGAUUUAAACUUCAGACUGUAGGAAUCCACGUGAGGCAUCUGCCACACUGGGGAAACCUUGACUUCAGGCCAAAAAGACGUUCUGAGCUCAUUUGAUGGCAUCUAAGAAUGGUAGGCUCACUGGAAUGUAAUUUUCCUCCCCCAUACUCUUCUGGCUCUCUCAACCCAGGAGCAGAUGGAUGAAUGAAGAACAGGGCAUUGUCCUCAUGCAUAGCUGGAGUGUUGUAAGUGCCGUGUACAUGUAUGGAAGGUCUUUGACACCAUGUGCACCCAAGUCGGACAUGAG